CUGAUUUUUUUAUAUAUAAUUAGAACAGUUAAACAUUUUGUUUUGGUUCUGUUUUCAUGUAACAUUCCUGCCGUUCACCCCAUUCCAGCUGAACCUCCUCUGUGACAUAUACUUUACAUCUCUGUGCACAUGGUUUGGUUGCUUACUCCUGCAUUUGCCUAUUUUAAAUCCUCAUUGCUUAAGACUUAGCUCAGAUAAUUCUCUGAUGAACCUUCCCUGCCAUGACUUUUUCUUUCAUAUACCCAGUGCAUGCUUGCUAACUCAUUUAUUCAUUUGUUCACUCCCUUUUUUUCCCACAGGAUAUAAGACAGCAACAUAUUGUGGGCCUUUUAACGUUCUGUGAGGGCACCCUGUGUGCUUCUCUUCUAGAGCUUCAUUCUGGAAGCCCUUGGAUGGAAGAACCUGUCUUGACUCCUAAAUAAUGCCUGGGAGGCACAGAGAAGCAGAGUAACUUGCUCAAGGCUACUUGACCAACCUGUGGUGAGGCCAGGAUCUGAAUCUGGGCAGUCUGGCUAUAGUCUUCAGUUUGUAACCACAAUGCUCUACAGGGGAUACAAAGUGAAGACUGAGAAGUUCUAUGUGAAUAAAGGCUUUUGUGUUCAAGCCUGGGAACAUUUAUACGUGGACUCCAUUCCGAAGCCCUUUUACAGUGUGGAGUAUACAGCAGUCAUGCCUGGUCCAUUAUUCAACAGCCAGACACGCUUCUCUGGAUGUUGACACCACACUCUACAAAGGCUGGCACGUCUGUCUUUUCGACCAGAUGACUACCUCCUGUACGGUCUUUGGGGCAUGCUGAGCCCAGCCCCUGGGAACCAACACACUGGAGUUUGAGCCCCAGCCGGCUGUUUAUGAAGCAACACAAACUGCUCUGAGUCCUGGUGUCCUUUCUGAAAAAAUGCAGGGGCCAGCCCUUCCCCCAAGAGCUACAGCUACAAUGGACAAAGAAGAUCACGCACAGUGAGCGCACAGCACAACACCUGUAAUGUGGUGUUUUGUAGUAAGUAUCCAUUCCCCAUCCCGUCCAGGAUGAGGCCCAGGCCUCCACCCUCAGUCACCUAACACAAAGCGUGAAGGCGGCAGGAAAGCUGCCUGCGCCCCAGCCCGCCAUCUGUGGAGCACGGGACAUGCUGUGAGACAGAAGAACCCCCAAGGUGAGUGGCAGCAGGGACCCCACAGACCCCUCAUUGCAUGUCCUCUGGAUCCAGCCCCCUCUUCGCUCGUUCUUCCUCUCUGCCCUGGUGCACUCAAGCUCCGGCCUGGGCUUCCUGUAUUCCUCUCUAUGUGGUUCUUUGUGUGACCUCAUCCCAUCUCCAGACCCAAAGUAUCAUCUCCAUGCUGACAACCCCUCAGCUUCACUUGACUCCACUCAAACUUCAUAAGCAUUGCACCUUAACAGGCCCACAGGUGGCUCCUGACUCUUCCUCUCCAAACCACUUCUGCAGUCCUGGUGUCCCACUCAGUAAACACCUUCUUUCAGUUACUCCACCAAAACAAAAAGGUCGUCCCUUAAGUCAGUUUUCUUUCAUCCCCACAUCUGACCAGUUGGCAAAAUCCUCCAAGUAUGUUCAGAAUCUGGCUCUUCUAUCUUGACUGCUGCCCCUUAGGUCCAUGCUACCCACGUAUCUAGCCAGAGCCCCACACUCCACCCCCCUUUCUCACUCCCUUCAUCCCCACUCUUUCUUCCACCUGCCUCUCCCACCACAGCCCUUGGGCUUCUGCACCUGGCCUUCCCUCUGUCCCAGCAUGGCCUUCCAGCCCUCUCCCCGCCAUGCUCCCCACUUCCCUUCACCCUGCUUUGUACUCCUCCUUUAUCUAACCUUCUAACAUACCAUAGAUUUUUAAAAUCUAUCUUGUUUAUGGUCUCUCUCUGCCUCCAACCCUCAAACACCACCAAAUAAGAAUGAGGGCAGAGGUUUUGAUCAGUUUUGGUCUUGGCUGUGUCCCCAGCAUCUCGUACAGUGUCUGCACAUCAUAGACACUCAGUGAAUUCUCUUUUGGGAAUACAGGAAUUGGCACAGGGGAGGGGUUCUGAGUCCUGGGAGGCAGGGCAGAAAGCUGGUUUCCCCUAACCCCCCAGACCAGACGCAGUGUUGACUGACUCCUGUGUGCAGAUGUAUUCCCCAAAGACCCGCUGGAUGGGGCUCCAUUCUUUCAUGUGCUCAGACAGACCCUUCUCUCCCUAGACCACCCUUCCAACCAGGAUGACAGCACAGACCACUCUGCUAGCGAGGGUCCUACAAGGGCUGCUGCUGUCCCUUUGCCUCUGCAAGCUUUAGCUUACCUCCAAGCCACCAAGCAGGAGGAAGUGUGAGCAGUGAAAACUCCCUGAGCACUCUGGAUGCACCAGGCCCUGUGCCGAGCACUCCCAUCCACUGUGGCACUUAAUCCUCACGACAAAUAGGUGAGGUCACCCGAGGCCAGAGACUCGACCCUAGGCAGUGUUAUCUAGAGCCCUCUACGGAACAACUUUGCAUUUUCCCCUGAGAAACCAAGCUUCUGAGAAGGUGAAAGAGCUAGAAGCUCAAGUUGGCUCCACAAAGAGCUAAAGAAGUGAGAAGCUGGUUCUGGCCUCUUCUGAGGCUGUAUGAUGACAGCCUCCGCCUAGUAAUACUUCCCAUGUAUCCUGUAGUUUUUGUCUGUGAGCUCAUCUUCAGCUGUAAUCAUCUUUCUCCAUAUCUGCAGGGUGUUCCACCGUUCCCGUUGCCUGGUAAAUUCCAACCCAGUGCUCACACUUGUGGGGGUUUCCCCCCAGCUGUAUACCUCACAGUUUUACUCAUGUUGUGUCCUUUCUCCUCCUUGCUCAGCCCAAUCCUAUUGGUCCUUCAACUCCUGGCUCAGACAUUGCCUGCCGUGACCCUCCCCAACCUCCUGCAGAACAAAAGGGCCAAACGCUGCCCCUCCAGCUCCCUGUAGAAAUCCCAGGCCCAGAGUGAGAAGCAGGAACCGCUUCACCUCCACUGUCUCUGAUGGGGAAAGGAGGAUGUCAGAGCCCACAAACAAC
Mirounga angustirostris (Northern elephant seal) is the source of this 3001-nucleotide long non-coding RNA. RefSeq lists it as uncharacterized. Lineage: Eukaryota; Metazoa; Chordata; Mammalia; Carnivora; Phocidae. The record is from RefSeq and is a predicted model, not a curated record. The transcript has 4 exons.